RNAcentral lists this ribosomal RNA (498 nucleotides) under Maladera taiwana. Its description in RNAcentral is "partial 16S large subunit ribosomal RNA". It matches the Rfam family "Bacterial large subunit ribosomal RNA", at positions 1844 to 2600 of the family's 2925-position model. Lineage: Eukaryota; Metazoa; Arthropoda; Insecta; Coleoptera; Scarabaeidae. The record is from RNAcentral.
UUUAAGGUCUAAUCUGCCCUAUGAGGAAUUAAAUGGCCGCGGUACUUUGACCGUGCAAAGGUAGCAUAAUAAUUAGUUUUUUAAUUGAAAGCUGGAAUGAAUGAUUGGACGAGAAAAUAACUGUUUCAAUUUAAUUUUUUUUUAGAAUUUUAUUUUUAAGUUAAAAAGCUUAGAUUUUAUUAAAAGACGAGAAGACCCUAUAGAGUUUUAUAUUUGAUAAAUUAUUAAUUUUUAAGUUUAUUUUUAUUGAUAUUUUAUUAUAUAUUUUAUUGGGGCGAUAGAGAAAUAUUAUUAACUUUUUUUAGUUUAAAUUCAUUAAUUUAUGAUUGAUUGAUCCAUUAUUUAUGAUUAUAAGAAUAAGUUACCUUAGGGAUAACAGCGUAAUUUUUCUUUAGAGUUCUUAUCGAAAGAAGGGAUUGCGACCUCGAUGUUGGAUUAAAGUUAAUAUUUGGUGUAGAAGCUAAAUAAUUAGGUCUGUUCGACCUUUGAAACUUUACA